Molecule: unclassified non-coding RNA, 353 nt
Filed under: soil metagenome
Description: partial contains 5.8S ribosomal RNA, internal transcribed spacer 2, and large subunit ribosomal RNA
Rfam family: 5.8S ribosomal RNA (bases 1-120)
Source: RNAcentral
GAUGAAUAACGUAGCGAAAUGCGAUAAGUAAUGUGAAUUGCAGAAUUCAGUGAAUCAUCGAAUCUUUGAACGCACAUUGCGCCCGCCAGUAUUCUGGCGGGCAUGCCUGUUCGAGCGUCAUUACAACCCUCAGGCCCCCGGGCCUGGCGUUGGGGAUCGGCGGAAGCCCCCUGCGGGCACAACGCCGUCCCCCAAAUACAGUGGCGGUCCCGCCGCAGCUUCCAUUGCGUAGUAGCUAACACCUCGCAACUGGAGAGCGGCGCGGCCACGCCGUAAAACACCCAACUUCUGAAUGUUGACCUCGAAUCAGGUAGGAAUACCCGCUGAACUUAAGCAUAUCAAUAAGCGGAGGA